GGAUUAGAUACCCUGGUAGUCCACGCCGUAAACGAUGUCUACUUGGAGGUUGGGACCUUGAGUUCUGGCUUUCGGAGCUAACGCGUUAAGUAGACCGCCUGGGGAGUACGGUCGCAAGAUUAAAACUCAAAUGAAUUGACGGGGGCCCGCACAAGCGGUGGAGCAUGUGGUUUAAUUCGAAGCAACGCGAAGAACCUUACCUACACUUGACAUCCAGAGAACUUGCUAGAGAUAGCUUGGUGCCUUCGGGAGCUCUGAGACAGGUGCUGCAUGGCUGUCGUCAGCUCGUGUUG
Molecule: ribosomal RNA, 293 nt
Filed under: uncultured bacterium
Lineage: Bacteria
Description: partial 16S ribosomal RNA
Rfam family: Bacterial small subunit ribosomal RNA
Source: RNAcentral